GACGAACGCUGGCGGCGUGCUUAACACAUGCGAGUCGAACGGAAAGGCCCCUUUGGGGGUCCUCGAGUGGCGAACGGGUGAGUAACACGUGAGUAACCUGCCCUUGACUUCGGGAUAACUUCAGGAAACUGGGGCUAAUACCGGAUAGGAAUCCUUGCUGCAUGGUGGGGGUUGGAAAGCUUCGGCGGUUUUGGAUGGACUCGCGGCUUAUCAGCUUGUUGGUGGGGUAGUGGCUUACCAAGGCUUUGACGGGUAGCCGGCCUGAGAGGGCGACCGGCCACAUUGGGACUGAGAUACGGCCCAGACUCCUACGGGAGGCAGCAGUGGGGAAUAUUGCACAAUGGGCGGAAGCCUGAUGCAGCAACGCCGCGUGCGGGAUGACGGCCUUCGGGUUGUAAACCGCGUUCAGCAGGGGCGAAGCUUGUGGUGACGGUACCUGCAGAAGAAGCACCGGCUAACUACGUG
RNAcentral lists this ribosomal RNA (465 nucleotides) under uncultured bacterium. Its description in RNAcentral is "partial 16S ribosomal RNA". It matches the Rfam family "Bacterial small subunit ribosomal RNA", at positions 28 to 507 of the family's 1533-position model. The record is from RNAcentral.